This 301-nucleotide ribosomal RNA is filed under the name uncultured bacterium. RNAcentral describes it as "partial 16S ribosomal RNA". It matches the Rfam family "Bacterial small subunit ribosomal RNA", at positions 509 to 807 of the family's 1533-position model. The record is from RNAcentral.
CAGCCGCCGCGGUAAUACGUAGGUGGCAAGCGUUGUCCGGAAUUAUUGGGCGUAAAGGGCUCGCAGGCGGUUUCUUAAGUCUGAUGUGAAAGCCCCCGACUCAACCGGGGAGGGUCAUUGGAAACUGGGAAACUUGAGUGCAGAAGAGGAGAGUGGAAUUCCACGUGUAGCGGUGAAAUGCGUAGAGAUGUGGGGGAACACCAGUGGCGAAGGCGACUCUCUGGUCUGUAACUGACGCUGAGGAGCGAAAGCGUGGGGAGCGAACAGGAUUAGAUACCCCAGUAGUCCCUGUCUCUUAUAC